Molecule: ribosomal RNA, 162 nt
Filed under: Taiwania cryptomerioides
Lineage: Eukaryota; Viridiplantae; Streptophyta; Pinopsida; Cupressales; Cupressaceae
Description: 5.8S ribosomal RNA
Rfam family: 5.8S ribosomal RNA
About the family: 5.8S ribosomal RNA (5.8S rRNA) is a component of the large subunit of the eukaryotic ribosome. It is transcribed by RNA polymerase I as part of the 45S precursor that also contains 18S and 28S rRNA. Functionally, it is thought that 5.8S rRNA may be involved in ribosome translocation.
Source: RNAcentral
AACAUGAAUGCUGACAACAGGUAUCUCAGCUCUCGCCACAAUGAAGAAUGUAGUGAAAUGGGAUACUUAGUGUGAAUUGUAGAAUCUUGUGAAUCAUCGAGUCUUUGAACACAAGUUGUGCCUGAGGCUUUGGCUGAGGGCACAUAUGGUUGGGUGUUGCAC